This 1522-nucleotide ribosomal RNA is filed under the name Salmonella enterica subsp. enterica serovar Schwarzengrund. RNAcentral describes it as "bacterial SSU rRNA". It matches the Rfam family "Bacterial small subunit ribosomal RNA". The record is from RNAcentral. Lineage: Bacteria; Pseudomonadati; Pseudomonadota; Gammaproteobacteria; Enterobacterales; Enterobacteriaceae.
AGAGUUUGAUCAUGGCUCAGAUUGAACGCUGGCGGCAGGCCUAACACAUGCAAGUCGAACGGUAACAGGAAGCAGCUUGCUGCUUCGCUGACGAGUGGCGGACGGGUGAGUAAUGUCUGGGAAACUGCCUGAUGGAGGGGGAUAACUACUGGAAACGGUGGCUAAUACCGCAUAACGUCGCAAGACCAAAGAGGGGGACCUUCGGGCCUCUUGCCAUCAGAUGUGCCCAGAUGGGAUUAGCUUGUUGGUGAGGUAACGGCUCACCAAGGCGACGAUCCCUAGCUGGUCUGAGAGGAUGACCAGCCACACUGGAACUGAGACACGGUCCAGACUCCUACGGGAGGCAGCAGUGGGGAAUAUUGCACAAUGGGCGCAAGCCUGAUGCAGCCAUGCCGCGUGUAUGAAGAAGGCCUUCGGGUUGUAAAGUACUUUCAGCGGGGAGGAAGGUGUUGUGGUUAAUAACCGCAGCAAUUGACGUUACCCGCAGAAGAAGCACCGGCUAACUCCGUGCCAGCAGCCGCGGUAAUACGGAGGGUGCAAGCGUUAAUCGGAAUUACUGGGCGUAAAGCGCACGCAGGCGGUCUGUCAAGUCGGAUGUGAAAUCCCCGGGCUCAACCUGGGAACUGCAUUCGAAACUGGCAGGCUUGAGUCUUGUAGAGGGGGGUAGAAUUCCAGGUGUAGCGGUGAAAUGCGUAGAGAUCUGGAGGAAUACCGGUGGCGAAGGCGGCCCCCUGGACAAAGACUGACGCUCAGGUGCGAAAGCGUGGGGAGCAAACAGGAUUAGAUACCCUGGUAGUCCACGCCGUAAACGAUGUCUACUUGGAGGUUGUGCCCUUGAGGCGUGGCUUCCGGAGCUAACGCGUUAAGUAGACCGCCUGGGGAGUACGGCCGCAAGGUUAAAACUCAAAUGAAUUGACGGGGGCCCGCACAAGCGGUGGAGCAUGUGGUUUAAUUCGAUGCAACGCGAAGAACCUUACCUGGUCUUGACAUCCACGGAAGUUUUCAGAGAUGGAUUGGUGCCUUCGGGAACCGUGAGACAGGUGCUGCAUGGCUGUCGUCAGCUCGUGUUGUGAAAUGUUGGGUUAAGUCCCGCAACGAGCGCAACCCUUAUCCUUUGUUGCCAGCGGUCCGGCCGGGAACUCAAAGGAGACUGCCAGUGAUAAACUGGAGGAAGGUGGGGAUGACGUCAAGUCAUCAUGGCCCUUACGACCAGGGCUACACACGUGCUACAAUGGCGCAUACAAAGAGAAGCGACCUCGCGAGAGCAAGCGGACCUCAUAAAGUGCGUCGUAGUCCGGAUUGGAGUCUGCAACUCGACUCCAUGAAGUCGGAAUCGCUAGUAAUCGUGGAUCAGAAUGCCACGGUGAAUACGUUCCCGGGCCUUGUACACACCGCCCGUCACACCAUGGGAGUGGGUUGCAAAAGAAGUAGGUAGCUUAACCUUCGGGAGGGCGCUUACCACUUUGUGAUUCAUGACUGGGGUGAAGUCGUAACAAGGUAACCGUAGGGGAACCUGCGGUUG